RNA transcript from Syngnathoides biaculeatus (alligator pipefish), 3534 nucleotides. It is a transcript of the gene named gap junction protein, alpha 2, with no coding region annotated. Lineage: Eukaryota; Metazoa; Chordata; Actinopteri; Syngnathiformes; Syngnathidae. The transcript is spliced from 3 exons. The record is from RefSeq and is a predicted model, not a curated record.
AGUCACGCAGACAACCAAGUGGACGGGCUGUAAUAGUUUACAUCCAAGUGCACUGGGGCCAAAUUUAACCACAGGAGGAGGCGCAGGCCGGACAUGGCUGAGAGUUUGUCCAGUAGUGUGUUGUGGCCAGUGGAAGAAGCUCAUUUUGGGGGUCGUCCUGGAUCUUGCCUGCCUGAGCUGUUAGGUGUGGACCUGUGACGCCGUGGCUGAUCUGAGUCACUUUUCAAGGGCGUUACUGGAACGGUACGAAUAUCACGCUUGUUCCGAGGCCCGUCAAGGCGGCGUUCGGCCUCAUGGACCCCCGAAGACUCGUAGGAGUUCAAUACGAGGGAUGUGGAAGGUGACGAGUCCCAGCUGCGUGCUCACAUAGAUCAUGGGGGACUGGAACCUUCUCGGAAAGCUCUUGGAAAAUGCCCAGGAGCACUCCACCGUGGUGGGCAAGGUGUGGCUCACGGUACUGUUCAUUUUCCGCAUUCUGAUCCUGAGCGCCGCCACAGAGAAGGUGUGGGGCGACGAGCAGUCGGGCUUCACCUGCGAUACCAAGCAGCCCGGUUGCGAGAACGUCUGCUAUGACAUCACUUUCCCCAUCUCCCACGUUCGUUUCUGGGUGCUGCAGAUCAUCUUUGUGUCCACACCUACGCUGAUCUACCUGGGCCACAUCCUGCAUCUGGUGCGUAUGGAGGAGAAGCAAAAGGAGAAAGAGAAGACUCAAGCACAUCCCCCCGACAAGCUGGGCCUCGUUGUGGAUGGCCACAAGCACAAAAAGGCCCUAAUGAGAGACGAGAAAGGACAUGUGCGCCUGCAGGGGGAGCUCUUGCGCACCUAUGUCUUUAAUGUCAUUUUUAAGACCCUCUUUGAGGUGGGCUUCAUUGUGGCCCAGUACCUGUUGUACGGAUUUGAGCUGAAACCCAUGUACACCUGCGACAGGCCGCCUUGUCCCAAUGCGGUCAACUGCUACAUCUCCCGUCCCACUGAGAAAACCAUCUUUAUCAUAUUCAUGCUGGGUGUGGCCAGCGUUUCCCUCUUCCUCAACCUGAUUGAGAUCUAUCACCUGGGUUUCACCAAGUGCCGCCAGGGGAUUACCUUCAGGAGAAGGAACCGGUCACCUGAGACCCUGUCCAAGGGACACAGUGACACCGAAGUACCGUUCGGGCCUGCGUAUGAAGACUACUUCCAAGAGCAUCGUCCCCCCAGCUACAACCUCUCACCACUGUCCGAGGGCGCCAGCUCCUCCUUUCACCCUUGUAACAGCAAAGCGGCCUACAAACAGAACAAGAACAACUUGGCGGUGGAAAGGAGCAGUGGCAAGCCAGAGGAAUGUGACCUGAAAGGGAAAAAGCGUGAGGGAUCUGCCCCGGGGUCACCCACGCACAGCAGGCAAGGCCGCAGUGCCAAGCACGGCAACAACAAGACUAGAAUAGAUGAUCUGAAGAUAUGAGACAUGUUGCUCUCUCGGGGUGGUCUUAAACUGGAACGAAGGGACUCAAUGUCAUUAGCAAACAAAUGUAUUCAUUGUAAGUGGUUUGACUCAUUCCAAAUAAGACUCUCAAGGUCCUCGGAAUUGGUUUUGUGAAAUGUGGACUGAUAGUAGAUGUAGGAAAUGACACAAGGUCCAUUUGUUGAGGAAAUACAGUACAGUGGAACCUGCGAAAGUUGCACACACUUCAUUCCGGAAAACUGGCAUUUGGUGUUGUUCUAACUUCAAAAUAACUUUUCCAUUGGAAUUAAUUAUCCAUCCGUCAAUUUUCUUUGCCACUUAUACUCACGCGGGUCGCGGGAGUGCUUGAGCCUAUCCUAGCUGUCAAAGGGCAGGAGGCGGGGUAUACCCUGAACCGGUUGCCAGCCAAUCGCAGGGCACACAGAGACAAACAGCCGCACUCACAAUCACACCUAGGGACAAUUUAGAGUGUCCAAUUAAUGUUGCAUGUUUUUGGGAUGUGGGAGAGUGAAUGGAGAAAACCCACACAGGCACGGGGACAACAUGCAAACUCCACACAGGCGGGUCCAGGAUUGAUCCCGGGACCUCAGAACUCUGAGGGCAACACCUUCCAGCUGAGACACUGUGCCGCGGAUUAUUAAUUACCCCAACAUUUUUUGGUUGUUGUUGUUUUAACUAUUAAAACUGAUUGAUUUGACCUUCCUUAACGAAGCUAGCUCAAAUAAAUAGUAAAUUUAAACUCAUUUAAGUAAAAGUGAACUUUAGUAUUUGCAGAAUACUGCCACCUUUUGAAAAGCAUUUCUGGAAUUCAAAAUGCCCUUUGGUAAAAUUAGUUUGUGUAUCUAUCCAUCCAUUCAGCCAUCCAUUUUCUGUACUGCUUAUCCACACGUGUUAUUGAUAUAUUUGAAUUUUGUUGCUCAUAUUGUACUGAGCAGCCAGAUUCUUUCCAAUGUUGUAAUAAGUUCCAUAUUUGCUUCUAUGGUUAUCAUCAUGUUUCUCCUCUUUGCCGUCACUGGUACCCUGCAGUGGUGCUGUCACCGAAAAAAAAAAAAAAAAAAAAAAAAAACAUCAAUGCAUUUUCUGUACCAGUUAUCCUCACUAGGGUCACGGGUGAGCUGGAGAGUUUUGCACCUCUUUUCGGGCGAGAGGUGGUGUACACCCAGAACUGGUCACCAGCCAAUUGCAGAAAACAUCGUAAUAGUUCAUCCUUUAUAUGCUUACUGAGCUGACGUUUCGCAGUAAUUCUUCUUCCUGGCGUCUCGUGUCAGCGUGGACACCCUGCGGCGCUGCGAUACCUCUCACAGGUUAGUCUACGACAAGAGACGUGGUUUUAUACUGUAUGUGUGUGUUAUAAGAGCAAUGAAAAACAUGGCGACUGUUUCCCCUCAUGAUGUGUGCGCUCUAGUUCAUUCGGAAAAUCUGUUAGGAUGUUUUAAAAAUAUAUACAUAUGUAGCCAUAUUAAAUUGUGGCUGAAAUAAUUAGCCUUAUUUGCAAAUAGUCUGACAAGAAGGAUGUGACAUUUACCAAUAUAUAUUCUCUCAUUUUGGAGAUAAUGGAAGUGGAAAGAAUCUGUUCCAGGCUCACACUGGAACGAUUUCCAAGAGAUGUUAACAUUUUACACAAAAGUAAACUGUCAUUAGUGAAAAGUGAAAACAAUCAAAUCACCCUUUAAAGUAAUGAGGAGCUUAUAGAGAGCGAUUAUUACUUGUGCUAAAGAGGUACUUAGUCUAUGUCUCUUCGCAUAAAGAACUCAUUUUCUGGUGUACAUUCCAUUCUUGUCCUCGGUUAUUUCGGCCACGCCUGCAAAAUUGUGCUAAGCUGCCGGGAAAAAAAAAAAAACAUGUAUACUGCUUUUCUAUGUGUCAACAAUUUCCAUUUUUUAUUCUAUGGUUAUCAACAUGUUUCCUCUCCCUUUCAGAUACUGUGUCACAAAAAGCUACGUAUUUCAUAUAAUGUAAUUUAAUAAUGUUAUUUUUUUGUGACAACCAAGACCACUGGACUGCUGACAGUUUCCUUUUUUUUUGUAUUGUUACACAAGUCAACUGCAAACUUAUUGUUGUGUGUAUGUGUGUGCGUGUCUACUCACACAUGCACG